This 2831-nucleotide ribosomal RNA is filed under the name Phycisphaerae bacterium. RNAcentral describes it as "23S ribosomal RNA". It matches the Rfam family "Bacterial large subunit ribosomal RNA". The record is from RNAcentral. Lineage: Bacteria; Pseudomonadati; Planctomycetota; Phycisphaerae.
UCAAGUUACUAAGGGUGCAUGGUGGAUGCCUUGGCAUCAAGAAGCGACGAAAGACGUGGGAGCCUGCGAUAAGCUCCGGGGAGUCGGCAACCAGACUGCGAUCCGGAGAUUUCUGAAUGAGGAAACUCAUUAAUCCUGCAAUGAAUGCAUAGUUGUAGGAGGCGAACCCAGGGAACUGAAACAUCUAAGUACCUGGAGGAAAAGAAAGAGACAUCGAUUCCGUGAGUAGCGGCGAGCGAAACCGGAACAGCCCAAACCGGGAUUCGUCCCGGGGUUGUGGGCGCCUUGAGCUGAAUAAGUCUUAGCAAAACGAUCUGGAAAGGUCGGCCAAAGAGGGUGAUAGCCCCGUAUGCGAAAAGACCAAAUAGGCGUUGAGAGGCGUUCCAGAGUAGCACGGAUCUCGUGGAACUCCGUGCGAAGCUACGCGGACCACCGCGAAAGGCUAAAUAUUCCUUGAUGACCGAUAGUGAACAAGUAGGGCGAUUGAACGGUGAAAAGCACAGCUAUUAGCUGAGUGAAAAGUACCUGAAACCAUGCACUUACAAGCGGUCGGAGCACUAUGGCGCAAGCCACGUGUGACGGCGUACCUUUUGCAUAAUGGACCGGCGAGUUUAUGUUGGCAGCAAGGCUAAGCAGCACACCUGCGGAGCCGUAGCGAAAGCGAGUCUUAAGAUGGCGUUGAGUUGUCAGCAUAAGGCCCGAAACCCCGUGAUCUACCCAUGGGCAGAGUGAACGACCCGUAACAGGGUCGGGAGGCUCGAAGCCGUGAACGUUGAAAAGUUCUGGCAUGACCUGUGGGGAGGAGUGAAAGUCUAAUCAAACGGGGAGAUAUCUGGUUCUCUUCGAAAUGCCUUUAGGGGCAGCCUCGAGCCACUACUUCAUAGGGGUAGAGCUACUGAAAGGGAACAGGGGGCUACCCGCCUACCUGUCCCUACCAAACUCCGAAUACUAUGAAGACUAUCUCGGGAGUGAGUCGGCGAGCGAUAAUGUUCGUCGUCGAGAGGGAAACAACCUUGACCGCCUGCUAAGGUCCCUAAUCUAGGCUUAGUUCGUGAGGAAGUUAUUCUGCUGAGACAACCAGGAUGUUGGCUUAGAAGCAGCCACCAUUUAAAAAGUGCGUAAUAGCUUACUGGUCGAGCAGAGUAGCGCCGUAAAUGAUCGGGAAUAAGCGUAGAACCGAAGCAGCGGGCUCAGCAAUGAGCGGUAGAAGAGCGUUGUACUCCGCGUCGAAGCCAUACGGAAACGAGUGGUGGAGCGUGUACAAGUGAGAAUGCCGGUAUGAGUAACGAUAAUGCAGGUGAAAAUCCUGCACGCCGAAAACCUAAGGUUUCCUGGGGAAGGUAAAUCCGCCCAGGGUUAGUCGGGAGCUAAGGCGAGGCCGAAAGGCGUAGUCGAUGCACAGCAGGUUAAUAUUCCUGCACCGAUGUGGAGAUCAAAUCAGAGUGCGGUUUCAGGAUUGACAUCCUCCGGUUAGUUGUGGAGGUUCCGCAAGGUCGCCCGCGAUUCGUUCGGGUAAGUGUCAUGAAUGAGAUCCGAGAAAAGCUCUGAGGGCAAAACAUCGUCCGUACUAAAACUGACACAGGUAGGUGAGGAGAGUAUCCUAAGGCGCUCGAGAGAACUGCGGUUAAGGAACUAGGCAAUCUAACCCCGUAACUUCGGGAGAAGGGGUCCCUACCCGCUUCGGCGGAAGGGCGCAGGAAUCAGACUGGGCGACUGUUUAUCAAAAACACAGUUCUGUGCUAACUCGUAAGAGGAUGUAUACAGAAUGACGCCUGCUCGGUGCCGGAAUGUUAAGGAAGCCGGUCAGGGAUUCGUCCCAAAGCUGGCAACCGAAGCACCGGUAAACGGCGGCCGUAACUAUGACGGUCCUAAGGUAGCGAAGUUCCUUGUCGGGUAAGUUCCGACGUGCAUGAACGGCGUAACGACUUGGUCGCUGUCUCAACCGCAGACUCGGUGAAAUUGAAGUGGCGGUGAAGAUACCGCCUUCCCGCAGCAAGACGGAAAGACCCCAUGCACCUUUACUAUAACCUGGUACUGAUGCCGGCUUCAAACUGCGUAGAAUAGGUGGGAGGCGUUGAUCCUCUGGUUCCGGCCAGAGAGGAGCCGAAAUGUGAAAUACCACCCUGUUUGUAUUCGUCAUCUCACCCUGUCCCGUGAAUCCGGGCAGGGAACAGUGCUAGGCGGUUAGUUUGACUGGGGCGGUCUCCUCCAAAAGAGUAACGGAGGAGUGCAAAGGCAUGCUCAGGACGGUUGGCAAUCGUCCGUCGAGCGCAUAGGUAGAAGCAUGCUUGACUGCGAGUGCUACGGCACAAGCAGAGCUGAAAGGCGGCCUAAGUGAUCCUGUGGUCCCGUGUGGAAGGGCCAUAGCUCAACGGAUAAAAGGUACGCUGGGGAUAACAGGCUGAUCGCACCCGAGCGCCCAUAGCGGCGGUGCGGUUUGGCACCUCGAUGUCGGCCCAUCACAUCCUGGGGCUGAAGGCGGUCCCAAGGGUUUGGCUGUUCGCCAAUUAAAGUGGUACGCGAGCUGGGUUCAGACCGGCGUGAGCCAGGUCGGUCCCUAUCUGCUGCGGGCGUAGGAAUCUUGACGGUAAUAUCUCCCUAGUACGAGAGGAUUAGGAGGUACGGACCCCUGGUGUACCAGUUGUCGCGCUAGCGGCACCGCUGGGUAGCUAUGUCCGGAACGGAUAAACGCUGAAAGCAUCUAAGCGUGAAGCCAAUACCAAGAUUACGAUUCCCAUGAGACCCCCGGUAGACUACCGGGUUGAUAGGCCAGAGCUGUACGGCGUGAAAACGCUUCAGGUCACUGGUACUAACGGUCGAUUGACUUGACC